UUGUAAGACACACUGGGUUAGCACACCAU
This 29-nucleotide non-coding RNA is filed under the name Mus musculus (house mouse). Lineage: Eukaryota; Metazoa; Chordata; Mammalia; Rodentia; Muridae. The record is from RNAcentral.